Molecule: non-coding RNA, 127 nt
Organism: Caenorhabditis elegans
Lineage: Eukaryota; Metazoa; Nematoda; Chromadorea; Rhabditida; Rhabditidae
Source: Ensembl
AAACUGUUAGAUUUGGGUUCUUUUUAAAUUUUUUUCCGGCUAUUUUUUGGUAAAAUGUCAAAAGCUGAAUUUAAAAUAAAAUCUUCACAUUUAUGGAAAUUUUCAGCGUUAAAAAAACAAUUUUUCA